Small nuclear RNA from Peromyscus maniculatus bairdii (prairie deer mouse), 187 nucleotides. Its record names the gene U2. It matches the Rfam family "U2 spliceosomal RNA". Rfam says of the family: U2 is a small nuclear RNA (snRNA) component of the spliceosome (involved in pre-mRNA splicing). Complementary binding between U2 snRNA (in an area lying towards the 5' end but 3' to hairpin I) and the branchpoint sequence (BPS) of the intron results the bulging out of an unpaired adenosine, on the BPS, which initiates a nucleophilic attack at the intronic 5' splice site, thus starting the first of two transesterification reactions that mediate splicing. The record is from Ensembl. NCBI's taxonomy places the organism in Eukaryota, Metazoa, Chordata, Mammalia, Rodentia, Cricetidae.
AUCAAUUCACAGCCUUUUGGCUACAACCAAGUGUGGUAUCUGUUCUUUUCAGUUUAAUAUUUGAUGUCUUCUAUAUGAAGGCAAUUUUUAAAUGUAUUUGGGGGCUGGGAGAUGGAAUAGGGUCUUGCUCCACCCAUUCCACGCACUGACCUGGUAUUGCACUACCUGCAUGAUCAUUGCAUCAAAA